GAAUUCGCCCUUAGAGUUUGAUCCUGGCUCAGGACGAACGCUGGCGGCGUGCCUAACACAUGCAAGUCGAACGGACGAGAGGGAGCUUGCUCCCUCAAGUUAGUGGCGGACGGGUGAGUAACGCGUGAGUAACCUGCCUUUCAGAGGGGAAUAACAUUCUGAAAAGGAUGCUAAUACCGCAUGACAUCGUAGUAUCGCAUGGUACAGCGAUCAAAGGAGCAAUCCGCUGAAAGAUGGACUCGCGUCCGAUUAGCUAGUUGGCGGGAUAAAGGCCCACCAAGGCGACGAUCGGUAGCCGGACUGAGAGGUUGAUCGGCCACAUUGGGACUGAGACACGGCCCAGACUCCUACGGGAGGCAGCAGUGGGGGAUAUUGCACAAUGGGGGAAACCCUGAUGCAGCAACGCCGCGUGAAGGAAGAAGGUCUUCGGAUUGUAAACUUCUGUCCUCAGGGAAGAUAAUGACGGUACCUGAGGAGGAAGCUCCGGCUAACUACGUGCCAGCAGCCGCGGUAAUACGUAGGGAGCGAGCGUUGUCCGGAUUUACUGGGUGUAAAGGGUGCGUAGGCGGAUCUGCAAGUCAGUAGUGAAAUCCCAGGGCUUAACCCUGGAACUGCUAUUGAAACUGUGGGUCUUGAGUGAGGUAGAGGCAGGCGGAAUUCCCGGUGUAGCGGUGAAAUGCGUAGAGAUCGGGAGGAACACCAGUGGCGAAGGCGGCCUGCUGGGCCUUAACUGACGCUGAGGCACGAAAGCAUGGGUAGCAAACAGGAUUAGAUACCCUGGUAGUCCAUGCCGUAAACGAUGAUU
RNAcentral lists this ribosomal RNA (805 nucleotides) under uncultured bacterium. RNAcentral's name for it is "bacterial SSU rRNA". It matches the Rfam family "Bacterial small subunit ribosomal RNA", at positions 1 to 814 of the family's 1533-position model. The record is from RNAcentral.